GCGAGCCGAGCAGUCUCUCCAAAGGCUCAGGGCCGGAAGGCCAGAGGCUGCACACACUGCUCCAUGGAAUGGGAAACUGAAGGGGGGAAAAAGCAUCUUUGAGGGAGGUGGACAGACAGAUUCCAAGAAUCUGGGAAGGAAUGUGCACGUUUCUGAGCGCAGGGGAAAUGUCAGGCUUCCUCCGGGAGGGACCAAAGCUGCCCUUCCGAAGCAGCAUCUAAGGGAAACGUACUGACGCCGAGCAUGGUGGCACGCGCCUUUAAUCCCAGCACUCCGGGGGCAGAGGCAGGCAUAUCUCUAAUAUUGUGGAAUUGGAAGAGAACAAAACCCCUACCCUCACCCCUCACCCCACCCCACCCCACCGCACCCUACCCCUAAUUCCCAAGUGUCCUUGCAAGGCCUGGCAGAAUUGAGAAGCCUGGCCAAUGACCUGCCUUUCGCUGACCUCUUUCCCGAACUGACCCCAGCAGGCCUGUAUCUGUGGUGAACUACCUCCUCCUUUUGUCCCAGCCA
Molecule: long non-coding RNA, 513 nt
Organism: Meriones unguiculatus (Mongolian gerbil)
Lineage: Eukaryota; Metazoa; Chordata; Mammalia; Rodentia; Muridae
Exons: 3
Source: RefSeq, a predicted model, not a curated record